This is a long non-coding RNA of Pyrgilauda ruficollis (rufous-necked snowfinch), 737 nucleotides long. RefSeq lists it as uncharacterized. The record is from RefSeq and is a predicted model, not a curated record. NCBI's taxonomy places the organism in Eukaryota, Metazoa, Chordata, Aves, Passeriformes, Passeridae. The transcript is spliced from 2 exons.
UUUAUACUGGUCUGUACUGGUUUAUACUGGUCCAUACUGGUUUAUACCGGUCUAUACUGGUCUGUACCGGUCCAUACUGGUUUAUACUGGUCUAUACUGGUUUAUACUGGUCUAUACUGGUUCAUUCACCCCACACCGGUCUAUACUGGUUUGUACUGGUUUAUUCACCCCAUACUGGUUUGUACUGGUCUAUACCGGUCUAUACCGGUCUAUACUGGUUAUACUGGUCCAUACUGGUUUGUACUGGUUCAUUCACCCCACACCGGUCUCCACUGCUGCAGGGUGACGUCAUCGACCGCAUCGAGCUCCACGUGCAGCGCUCGGGGGCGCGGCUGGAAAAGGGGCGGGGCCACCUGCGGGGGGCGGGGCUUCGCCAGCGGGCGGCCCGACGGAAGCGCCUGGCUCUCGCCGCCUGCGCCUCGGUCGCCAUCUUGGUCCUGGUCGCCAUCGUGGCCGCCUCAGUGGCGGCGGGAUAGCGCCGCGCCCUCCCAUUGGCUGAGAGCGCUGCCAAUCAACGGAAAUCCCACCAUCCGCCGCUUACGAUUGGGCGGCACAGAACCGGGGGGAAGCCCGCCCCGCUCGCUUGGGAUUGGGUGGUGGAGGUGUCAGUCAGGCCGCGCGCGGUUCUUAUUGGUUGGUGGUGAUGUCACCGCGCCGAGGAGCGGAGCUCCGCCCGCGCGCGGUUCCUAUUGGCUGGUGGUGACGUCACCGGCGAAUAAAGCACUUUUUACCCCAAA